This is a long non-coding RNA of Tachysurus fulvidraco (yellow catfish), 411 nucleotides long. RefSeq lists it as uncharacterized. The record is from RefSeq and is a predicted model, not a curated record. The transcript has 3 exons. NCBI's taxonomy places the organism in Eukaryota, Metazoa, Chordata, Actinopteri, Siluriformes, Bagridae.
CAACAUCACAGAGGAGCCACUGAUGAAACCCUUAACCAUCACCACAGGAUUGGAAUAAGCAUCUUGGUUUUUUUUUCAUCUUGUAGUGUUUGCUGUUUUUCUGAGGUCAUAUGAGCCACCAUCGUGCAGCCGGUCACAUGACCACGCCUGAAUGCUCAUGCACAUGUGACCUCGUCAGUCAUGUGACAAACUGCUUUCUAGCUUUCUAACCCUUCCUUUCCGACACUUGGAUGUGCCUGGAUCACUUUCUCUAACCAUGACGCAUGUAGCCCAGUUCGGAAGAAUGAGGCAGGAAGGAAGGACACGAGGAAUGUGUGGAAUUCCAACGAGCAGGAAGGGAGCGAGAUCGAGGAUGAGGAAAAAGUCGUCUGCGAGACUGAGGCUCGUGGAUGGGCUCUCGAGAGCAUUGUG